Micropterus salmoides (largemouth bass) is the source of this 816-nucleotide long non-coding RNA. RefSeq lists it as uncharacterized. The record is from RefSeq and is a predicted model, not a curated record. Lineage: Eukaryota; Metazoa; Chordata; Actinopteri; Centrarchiformes; Centrarchidae. The transcript has 4 exons.
GUUUCAGCACUCAUCAUGUGGGAUUUGCAGAAGGCCAAAACAGUUCUGUUUCUGUUGUGUGCAGCUUUGGCUAUAAGUCUGAUUGUUAUUGUCUUUUUGAUUUACAUCAUCAAAACAAUCAAGAGUGGUUGUUCAAACGCUGUUGUUGACCUGCAAAAAAACUGUGGUGGUCACAAAAGUCAACAGAGAGAUAAGGGCACAAGGGUUUAUUCUGCUGUCUUCUUCUGCAUGAUGAAAGCUGACGGUGCAAUAAAGGAUGCAAAAGCAGCAAAGACAGAGAGGGUCUAUGCUGCUGUGAAGGCUUUUGGGUUGGAUUAGUGAGUUAACAGCUGCAGCCUGUCCCAGCUCACAUUGUGCCAGAGGAGAAGAUCACAGUGGGUGGAUCUCCAGUCAAUCACAGGACAAACACAUACAGACAACUACAUACUCACAUAUCUAUUGGAAACUUCUCCAAUUCCCCUAACCUUAAUAUCUUUGAACUGGGAGAGGAAACCCACAUGGAACACAUGCAAGCGAGUCCCAUCUGUCCCAGGACCUUCUUACUGAACGGCAACAGUGCUAAUAUGUCAUUGACAUUUUGAUUUAUUUCAAAUGUAUUUAAUGCACAUUGUUUUAUUAAUGCUCAACAUGUCUUUUAGUCAUAAUCUUUCCAUUUAUCCAGCGUCACUGCUGUCACAGUGAUGCUUACAUAGUCCUGUCAUGCAAAUGUGCAUACUUGACAUUGACAUUGCAGGGUCCCCUGGUAGCAGACCAUGACCUGGUUCACAUCUGUCUAGUAAACUUCGUUACAUGUAAUUCUCAUCUGUCUCCCCUCAU